GUUCCCACGCGUUAAGUUGCAUUCAGCGCUGGCGACUUGACGGAUUCUUUGUCCUUGCAAAAGUCUUUGAAAGUGGCUGAAACAAAAAGCAAACAGGACCUCUGCAGGACUUUGACGGCUACACGACUGUGUACUCUGUGUUAUUGUGUAAUCUCUCACUAUGGCUGCUGCAAAUCCUAUUUGAGUGAUGGAUCCAGUUCUGGGAGCUCGCUGCGCCUGUGAACGCUCACCGACCGUCUUCUGCCCCCCCCUGAGAGACACCCCACGCCUCUUCACGCGGGCCGUUGCCAUGGCGCCCUGAUGACGCUCUGAGGCUGGAUGGGGAGAGUUGAGAGGGAGGGGUGGAGAGAAGAGGAAGACGGUAGCUGCACCAAAGAUUGAGUGGGUUUGAGGCGAUGACUCACACUGUUUAUAAAAAAAA
Molecule: long non-coding RNA, 421 nt
Filed under: Oryzias javanicus (javanese ricefish)
Lineage: Eukaryota; Metazoa; Chordata; Actinopteri; Beloniformes; Adrianichthyidae
Description: lncRNA (ENSOJAG00000013676.1)
Source: RNAcentral